This 496-nucleotide ribosomal RNA is filed under the name uncultured bacterium. RNAcentral describes it as "partial 16S ribosomal RNA". It matches the Rfam family "Bacterial small subunit ribosomal RNA", at positions 29 to 507 of the family's 1533-position model. The record is from RNAcentral.
AUGAACGCUUGCGGCGUGCCUAAUACAUGCCAGUCGAGCGAACAGACGAGGAGCUUGCUCCUCUGACGUUAGCGGCGGACGGGUGAGUAACACGUGGAUAACCUACCUAUAAGACUGGGAUAACUUCGGGAAACCGGAGCUAAUACCGGAUAAUAUAUUGAACCGCAUGGUUCAAUAGUGAAAGACGGUUUUGCUGUCACUUAUAGAUGGAUCCGCGCCGCAUUAGCUAGUUGGUAAGGUAACGGCUUACCAAGGCAACGAUGCGUAGCCGACCUGAGAGGGUGAUCGGCCACACUGGAACUGAGACACGGUCCAGACUCCUACGGGAGGCAGCAGUAGGGAAUCUUCCGCAAUGGGCGAAAGCCUGACGGAGCAACGCCGCGUGAGUGAUGAAGGUCUUCGGAUCGUAAAACUCUGUUAUUAGGGAAGAACAAAUGUGUAAGUAACUAUGCACGUCUUGACGGUACCUAAUCAGAAAGCCACGGCUAACUACGUG